Molecule: ribosomal RNA, 368 nt
Filed under: uncultured bacterium
Lineage: Bacteria
Description: bacterial SSU rRNA
Rfam family: Bacterial small subunit ribosomal RNA
Source: RNAcentral
CUAUCAGCUUGUUGGUGAGGUAACGGCUCACCAAGGCUUACGGGUAGCUGGUCUGAGAGGACGAUCAGCCACACUGGGACUGAGACACUGCCCAGACUCCUACGGGAGGCUGCAGUCGAGAAUCUUUCGCAAUGGGCGCAAGCCUGACGAAGCGACGCCGCGUGCAGGAUGAAGGUCUUCGGAUUGUAAACUGCUGUCUUUGGGGAGCAACGGCCUCGAUGCUAACACCAUCGGGGAGUGAUAGUACUCAAGGAGGAAGCCACGGCUAACUCUGUGCCAGCAGCCGCGGUAAUACAGAGGUGGCGAGCGUUGUUCGGAUUUACUGGGCGUAAAGGGUGCGUAGGCGGUUCUGCGUGUCGGAUGUGAAA